CCACGCCGUAAACGAUGAUUACUAGGUGUAGGAGGUAUCGACCCCUUCUGUGCCGGAGUUAACACAAUAAGUAAUCCACCUGGGGAGUACGGCCGCAAGGUUGAAACUCAAAGGAAUUGACGGGGGCCCGCACAAGCAGUGGAGUAUGUGGUUUAAUUCGACGCAACGCGAAGAACCUUACCAGGGCUUGACAUCCUCUGACCGUCCUAGAGAUAGGAUUUUCUCUUCGGAGACAGAGAGACAGGUGGUGCAUGGUUGU
Molecule: ribosomal RNA, 259 nt
Filed under: uncultured bacterium
Lineage: Bacteria
Description: partial 16S ribosomal RNA
Rfam family: Bacterial small subunit ribosomal RNA
Source: RNAcentral